AAAAUGUUGUAAAUCAAUCCUUAAUGAGUUUGCUUUUAGGCUGAAUCUAACGAGUCCUAAAUACACAACUAUCCAACAGGAUAAGCUGCACCCAGUUUAUCUAUCUUCAUUGGUUUUCGAUGGUGAAACUUAUCGUGGCAGAGUUUGCCGAAGCAAGAAAGAAGCAGAACAGUUAGUCGCACAGAUCGCCAUCGAGUCUCGUCUUGGAUCUGAUUCAGGCAUUCUUCUUCAAAUAAUCAAUUCCAAAAACAAAGCUCAUAACGAUAAAAACAAGAUUAAUGGCAAUAGCAACAUCAGUCAGAUCAACACUCAAAGACCAGGAUCAUCAGAAGAACCUGCUGUUAAUGUAUCUGGUCCAAGUGAUAAUGCUGAUGAUCGUAACAAGAAGCGGAAACUGCAGGGCGAGAGUUGGCAUCAGAAACAAAUGCGAUAUAAUCAGCAGUAAAUUUAUGCAGAAAUAUGGUGUGCAAUCUGCAUCAAGUAGGAAAA
Long non-coding RNA from Hibiscus syriacus, 489 nucleotides. RefSeq lists it as uncharacterized. The transcript has 3 exons. Lineage: Eukaryota; Viridiplantae; Streptophyta; Magnoliopsida; Malvales; Malvaceae. The record is from RefSeq and is a predicted model, not a curated record.